UACGUAGGGUGCAGGCGUUAAUCGGAAUUACUGGGCGUAAAGCGUGCGCAGGCGGUUUGCUAAGACAGGUGUGAAAUCCCCCGGCUUAACCUGGGAACUGCGUCUGAUACUGGAAGGCUUGAGUAUGGGAGAGGGAUGUAGAAUUCCAGGUGUAGCGGUGAAAUGCGUAGAUAUCUGGAGGAAUACCGGUGGCGAAGGCGGCAUCCUGGACCAUUACUGACGCUGAGGCGCGAAAGCUAGGGGAGCAAACGGG
Molecule: ribosomal RNA, 253 nt
Filed under: uncultured bacterium
Lineage: Bacteria
Description: partial 16S ribosomal RNA
Rfam family: Bacterial small subunit ribosomal RNA
Source: RNAcentral